GUAGGUGGCAAGCGUUGUCCGGAAUUAUUGGGCGUAAGCGCGCGCAGGUGGUUCUUUAAGUCUGAUGUGAAAGCCCCCGGCUCAACCGGGGAGGGUCAUUGGAAACUGGGGAACUUGAGUGCAGGAGAGGAAAGUGGAAUUCCACGUGUAGCGGUGAAAUGCGUAGAUAUGUGGAGGAACACCAGUGGCGAAGGCGACUUUCUGGCCUGUAACUGACACUGAGGCGCGAAAGCGUGGGGAGCAAACAGGGAUUAGAUACCCUGGUAGUCCACGCCGUAAACGAUGAGUGCUAAGUGUUGGGGGGGUUUCCCGCCCCUCAGUGCUGCAGCUAACGCAUUAAGCACUCCGCCUGGGGAGUACGGUCGCAAGACUG
Molecule: ribosomal RNA, 373 nt
Filed under: uncultured organism
Description: partial 16S ribosomal RNA
Rfam family: Bacterial small subunit ribosomal RNA
Source: RNAcentral